Molecule: ribosomal RNA, 425 nt
Filed under: Bacillus cereus
Lineage: Bacteria; Bacillati; Bacillota; Bacilli; Caryophanales; Bacillaceae
Description: bacterial SSU rRNA
Rfam family: Bacterial small subunit ribosomal RNA
Source: RNAcentral
GGUGAGUAACACGUGGGUAACCUGCCCAUAAGACUGGGAUAACUCCGGGAAACCGGGGCUAAUACCGGAUAAUAUUUUGAACCGCAUGGUUCGAAAUUGAAAGGCGGCUUCGGCUGUCACUUAUGGAUGGACCCGCGUCGCAUUAGCUAGUUGGUGAGGUAACGGCUCACCAAGGCAACGAUGCGUAGCCGACCUGAGAGGGUGAUCGGCCACACUGGGACUGAGACACGGCCCAGACUCCUACGGGAGGCAGCAGUAGGGAAUCUUCCGCAAUGGACGAAAGUCUGACGGAGCAACGCCGCGUGAGUGAUGAAGGCUUUCGGGUCGUAAAACUCUGUUGUUAGGGAAGAACAAGUGCUAGUUGAAUAAGCUGGCAUCUUGACGGUACCUAACCAGAAAGCCACGGCUAACUACGUGCCAGCAGC